GAGACUUUAGUUUAAUUGGUAAAAUAUGUGACUCUUAAUCAUCAUUACAUGGGUUCGAAUCCCGUAGGUCUUA
This is a non-coding RNA of Letharia lupina, 73 nucleotides long. Lineage: Eukaryota; Fungi; Ascomycota; Lecanoromycetes; Lecanorales; Parmeliaceae. The record is from the annotation of a RefSeq genome assembly.